GGGAGCGUGGCACAGCGGCUACUGCGGUCGCCUGCAGCCGUGAAGCGGAAGAAAGCGACUUUUCCUGGGUUCAAGUCCCAGCGCUCCCU
This 89-nucleotide transfer RNA is filed under the name Candidatus Woesearchaeota archaeon. RNAcentral's name for it is "tRNA-Cys". It matches the Rfam family "tRNA". From Rfam's summary of the family: Transfer RNA (tRNA) molecules are approximately 80 nucleotides in length. Lineage: Archaea; Nanobdellati; Candidatus Woesearchaeota. The record is from RNAcentral.